AUACUUACCUGGCAGGGGAGAUACCAUGAUCAUGAAGGUGGUUUUCCCAGGGCGAGGCUUAUCCAUUGCACUCCGGAUGUGCUGACCCCUGCGAUUUCCCCAAAUGCAGGAAACUCGACUGCAUAAUUUGUGGUAGUGGGGGACUGCGUUUGCGCUCUCCCCUG
This is a small nuclear RNA of 164 nucleotides. Its record names the gene U1. It matches the Rfam family "U1 spliceosomal RNA". From Rfam's summary of the family: U1 is a small nuclear RNA (snRNA) component of the spliceosome (involved in pre-mRNA splicing). Its 5' end forms complementary base pairs with the 5' splice junction, thus defining the 5' donor site of an intron. There are significant differences in sequence and secondary structure between metazoan and yeast U1 snRNAs, the latter being much longer (568 nucleotides as compared to 164 nucleotides in human). The record is from Ensembl.